This 26-nucleotide small RNA is filed under the name Arabidopsis thaliana (thale cress). RNAcentral's name for it is "ATSL009550". The record is from RNAcentral. Lineage: Eukaryota; Viridiplantae; Streptophyta; Magnoliopsida; Brassicales; Brassicaceae.
AACAGAGGACAUCACACUUAGAGACU